Molecule: long non-coding RNA, 664 nt
Filed under: Bemisia tabaci
Lineage: Eukaryota; Metazoa; Arthropoda; Insecta; Hemiptera; Aleyrodidae
Description: lncRNA ENSASIAIIG013293
Source: RNAcentral
UGCAUGCACAGAGACAAUGCAUGCAUAAUCCCGCGUAAACACGGCCGGUGCCCAAUUUCCGUAUCGCUCGCUCAAUUAAUUUUUAUUUAUUUAAUUAUUAGCCGUUGAAACUGUCAUCUUCUUUGCUCAUUUAGAAGUAUUUCAUCAAUUCGAGACGAAGAUUUAACCACAGGGCCAACGAAAAUCAAGAAGAAGCCAUGGGAAGUGUACAGAAACCGAAGUUCCGAGUGGAUCUUUACAGAUUUAAAAACAUAUCAAAAUGGCGCCAUAGCCACUGGAUAUCUCUGAGCAUGAGUUGCUCUUCAAAGCAACCAAUUUAUGCAAACUGGCCUCCAUAGAUUUGUCUCAGAUUUCAGGAAAAAGCAUUCAUGGUGACUUAUUUUUUCUGGAACUCACUAUCUCUUGAAUCCGCAACCUGGCUGCACAAUUAUUAAUGUUAAUUUUUGAAGACACCUCAGAAGAGUGGUCCAGUGUUCCAUUUUCUACCACAUGGUUCCAUAAGAAAGUGGUUGGUGUGUUGGUGACUGAAUAUUUAAAUUUAUUGUAGUCUUCCACAAUUUGAUUAAAAAAUAAAAAAAAAAAAAAAAAAAAAAAAAAGCUUUACAGAAUAAGGGGAAAGCUUAUCAAGGCACUUAAGAGGUGCACCUUAAAAGUCUGUAAGAGA